UACGGCCGUACAACGUUGUAACACCGGUUCCCGUACGAUCUUCGAAGUUAAGCAACGUCAAGCCUGGUCAGUACCUAGAGAGGUGACCAUUUGGUAAUACCAGGUGAU
Non-coding RNA from Acanthosepion pharaonis, 108 nucleotides. Lineage: Eukaryota; Metazoa; Mollusca; Cephalopoda; Sepiida; Sepiidae. The record is from the annotation of a GenBank genome assembly.